RNAcentral lists this ribosomal RNA (1946 nucleotides) under Salmonella enterica subsp. diarizonae. RNAcentral's name for it is "partial 23S ribosomal RNA". It matches the Rfam family "Bacterial large subunit ribosomal RNA", at positions 711 to 2637 of the family's 2925-position model. Lineage: Bacteria; Pseudomonadati; Pseudomonadota; Gammaproteobacteria; Enterobacterales; Enterobacteriaceae. The record is from RNAcentral.
AGACCCGAAACCCGGUGAUCUAGCCAUGGGCAGGUUGAAGGUUGGGUAACACUAACUGGAGGACCGAACCGACUAAUGUUGAAAAAUUAGCGGAUGACCUGUGGCUGGGGGUGAAAGGCCAAUCAAACCGGGAGAUAGCUGGUUCUCCCCGAAAGCUAUUUAGGUAGCGCCUCGUGAACUCAUCUCCGGGGGUAGAGCACUGUUUCGGCUAGGGGGCCAUCCCGGCUUACCAACCCGAUGCAAACUGCGAAUACCGGAGAAUGUUAUCACGGGAGACACACGGCGGGUGCUAACGUCCGUCGUGAAGAGGGAAACAACCCAGACCGCCAGCUAAGGUCCCAAAGUCAUGGUUAAGUGGGAAACGAUGUGGGAAGGCCCAGACAGCCAGGAUGUUGGCUUAGAAGCAGCCAUCAUUUAAAGAAAGCGUAAUAGCUCACUGGUCGAGUCGGCCUGCGCGGAAGAUGUAACGGGGCUAAACCAUGCACCGAAGCUGCGGCAGCGACACUUUAGUGUUGUUGGGUAGGGGAGCGUUCUGUAAGCCGUUGAAGGUGUCCUGUGAGGGGUGCUGGAGGUAUCAGAAGUGCGAAUGCUGACAUAAGUAACGAUAAAGCGGGUGAAAAGCCCGCUCGCCGGAAGACCAAGGGUUCCUGUCCAACGUUAAUCGGGGCAGGGUGAGUCGACCCCUAAGGCGAGGCCGAAAGGCGUAGUCGAUGGGAAACGGGUUAAUAUUCCCGUACUUGGUGUUACUGCGAAGGGGGGACGGAGAAGGCUAUGUUGGCCGGGCGACGGUUGUCCCGGUUUAAGCGUGUAGGUGUGUGUUCCAGGUAAAUCCGGUUCACUUUAACACUGAGGCGUGAUGACGAGGCACCACGGUGCUGAAGCAACAAAUGCCCUGCUUCCAGGAAAAGCCUCUAAGCAUCAGGUAACAUCAAAUCGUACCCCAAACCGACACAGGUGGUCAGGUAGAGAAUACCAAGGCGCUUGAGAGAACUCGGGUGAAGGAACUAGGCAAAAUGGUGCCGUAACUUCGGGAGAAGGCACGCUGACACGUAGGUGAAGUGAUUUACUCAUGGAGCUGAAGUCAGUCGAAGAUACCAGCUGGCUGCAACUGUUUAUUAAAAACACAGCACUGUGCAAACACGAAAGUGGACGUAUACGGUGUGACGCCUGCCCGGUGCCGGAAGGUUAAUUGAUGGGGUCAGCGCAAGCGAAGCUCCUGAUCGAAGCCCCGGUAAACGGCGGCCGUAACUAUAACGGUCCUAAGGUAGCGAAAUUCCUUGUCGGGUAAGUUCCGACCUGCACGAAUGGCGUAAUGAUGGCCAGGCUGUCUCCACCCGAGACUCAGUGAAAUUGAACUCGCUGUGAAGAUGCAGUGUACCCGCGGCAAGACGGAAAGACCCCGUGAACCUUUACUAUAGCUUGACACUGAACAUUGAGCCUUGAUGUGUAGGAUAGGUGGGAGGCUUUGAAGCGUGGACGCCAGUCUGCGUGGAGCCGACCUUGAAAUACCACCCUUUAAUGUUUGAUGUUCUAACGUGGACCCGUAAUCCGGGUUGCGGACAGUGUCUGGUGGGUAGUUUGACUGGGGCGGUCUCCUCCUAAAGAGUAACGGAGGAGCACGAAGGUUGGCUAAUCCUGGUCGGACAUCAGGAGGUUAGUGCAAUGGCAUAAGCCAGCUUGACUGCGAGCGUGACGGCGCGAGCAGGUGCGAAAGCAGGUCAUAGUGAUCCGGUGGUUCUGAAUGGAAGGGCCAUCGCUCAACGGAUAAAAGGUACUCCGGGGAUAACAGGCUGAUACCGCCCAAGAGUUCAUAUCGACGGCGGUGUUUGGCACCUCGAUGUCGGCUCAUCACAUCCUGGGGCUGAAGUAGGUCCCAAGGGUAUGGCUGUUCGCCAUUUAAAGUGGUACGCGAGCUGGGUUUAGAACGUCGUGAGACAGUUCGGUCC